GACGAACGCUGGCGGCGUGCCUAAUACAUGCAAGUCGAACGCAGUGGGGACGGGUGAGUAACACGUGGGUAACCUCCCAUCAGAGGGGAUAACACUUGGAAACAGGUGCUAAACCGAUACUGAUGGAUGGACCCGCGGUGCAUUAGCUAGUUGGUGAGGUAACGGCUCACCAAGGCCACGAUGCAUAGCCGGUCUGAGAGGAUGAUCGGCCACACGGGGACUGAGACACGGCCCAGACUCCUACGGGAGGCAGCAGUAGGGAAUAUUGGGCAAUGGGCGAAAGUCUGACCGAGCAACGCCGCGUGAGUGAAGAAGGUUUUCGGAUUGUAAAGCUCUUUUGUUAGAGAGGCGGUAUCUAAAGAAAAAGCCACGGCUAACUACGUGCCAGCAGCCGCGGUAAUUC
This 403-nucleotide ribosomal RNA is filed under the name uncultured bacterium. Its description in RNAcentral is "partial 16S ribosomal RNA". It matches the Rfam family "Bacterial small subunit ribosomal RNA", at positions 28 to 526 of the family's 1533-position model. The record is from RNAcentral.